RNAcentral lists this ribosomal RNA (521 nucleotides) under uncultured bacterium. RNAcentral describes it as "bacterial SSU rRNA". It matches the Rfam family "Archaeal small subunit ribosomal RNA", at positions 345 to 866 of the family's 1478-position model. The record is from RNAcentral.
AACCUCCGCAAUGUGAGAAAUCGCGACGGGGGGAUCCCAAGUGCCAUUCUUAACGGGAUGGCUUUUCAUUAGUGUAAAGAGCUUUUGGAAUAAGGGCUGGGCAAGACCGGUGCCAGCCGCCGCGGUAACACCGGCAGCUCUAGUGGUAGCAGUUUUUAUUGGGCCUAAAGCGUCCGUAGCCGGUUUAAUAAGUCUCUGGUGAAAUCCUGUAGCUUAACUGUGGGAAUUGCUGGAGAUACUAUUAGACUUGAGAUCGGGAGAGGUUAGAGGUACUCCCAGGGUAGAGGUGAAAUUCUGUAAUCCUGGGAGGACCGCCUGUUGCGAAGGCUUCUAACUGGAACGAUUCUGACGGUGAGGGACGAAAGUUAGGGGCGCGAACCGGAUUAGAUACCCGGGUAGUCCUAACUGUAAACGAUGCGGACUUGGUGUUGGGGUGGCUUUGAGCUGCUCCAGUGCCGAAGGGAAGCUGUUAAGUCCGCCGCCUGGGAAGUACGGUCGCAAGACUGAAACUUAAAGGAAUU